GCCGCUGUAGCUCAGUUGGUAGAGCGGCGCUUUCGUAAAGCGUAGGUCACCGGUUCGAGUCCGGUCAGCGGCUCCA
This 76-nucleotide transfer RNA is filed under the name Bacteriophage sp. Its description in RNAcentral is "tRNA-Thr". It matches the Rfam family "tRNA". Rfam says of the family: Transfer RNA (tRNA) molecules are approximately 80 nucleotides in length. Their secondary structure includes four short double-helical elements and three loops (D, anti-codon, and T loops). Further hydrogen bonds mediate the characteristic L-shaped molecular structure. tRNAs have two regions of fundamental functional importance: the anti-codon, which is responsible for specific mRNA codon recognition, and the 3' end, to which the tRNAs corresponding amino acid is attached (by aminoacyl-tRNA synthetases). tRNAs cope with the degeneracy of the genetic code in two manners: having more than one tRNA (with a specific anti-codon) for a particular amino acid; and 'wobble' base-pairing, i.e. permitting non-standard base-pairing at the 3rd anti-codon position. The record is from RNAcentral. RNAcentral also lists the same sequence under 5 other names.